RNAcentral lists this ribosomal RNA (469 nucleotides) under uncultured bacterium. Its description in RNAcentral is "partial 16S ribosomal RNA". It matches the Rfam family "Bacterial small subunit ribosomal RNA", at positions 28 to 508 of the family's 1533-position model. The record is from RNAcentral.
GACGAACGCUGGCGGCGUGCUUAACACAUGCAAGUCGAACGGAAAGGCCCUGCUUUUGUGGGGUGCUCGAGUGGCGAACGGGUGAGUAACACGUGAGUAACCUGCCCUUGACUUUGGGAUAACUUCAGGCAACUGGGGCUAAUACCGGAUAGGAGCUCCUGCUGCAUGGUGGGGGUUGGAAAGUUUCGGCGGUUGGGGAUGGACUCGCGGCUUAUCAGCUUGUUGGUGGGGUAGUGGCUUACCAAGGCUUUGACGGGUAGCCGGCCGGAGAGGGUGACCGGCCACAUUGGGACUGAGAUACGGCCCAGACUCCUACGGGAGGCAGCAGUGGGGAAUAGUGCACAAUGGGCGGAAGCCUGAUGCAGCAACGCCGCGUGCGGGAUGACGGCCUUCGGGUUGUAAACCGCUUUCGCCUGUGACGAAGCGUGAGUGACGGUAAUGGGUAAAGAAGCACCGGCUAACUACGUGA